Molecule: ribosomal RNA, 489 nt
Filed under: uncultured bacterium
Lineage: Bacteria
Description: partial 16S ribosomal RNA
Rfam family: Bacterial small subunit ribosomal RNA
Source: RNAcentral
AUUGAACGCUGGCGGCAGGCCUAACACAUGCAAGUCGAACGGUAACAGGAAGCAGCUUGCUGCUUUGCUGACGAGUGGCGGACGGGUGAGUAAUGUCUGGGAAACUGCCCGAUGGAGGGGGAUAACUACUGGAAACGGUAGCUAAUACCGCAUAACGUCGCAAGACCAAAGAGCGGGACCUUAGGGCCUCUUGCCAUCGGAUGUGCCCAGAUGGGGUUAGCAAGUAGGUGGGGUAACGGCUCACCUAGUCGACGAUCCCUAGCUGGUCUGGGAGGUGGACCAGCCAAACUGGAACUGGGAAACGGCCCAGAUCCCUAGGGGAGGCAGCAGUGGGGAAUAUUGCACAAUGGGGGCAAGCCUGAUGCAGCCAUGCGGCGUGUAGGAAGAAGGCUUGCGGGUGGUAAAGUACUUUCAGCGGGGAGGAAGGGAGUAAAGUUAAUACCUUUGCUCAUUGACGUUACCCGCAGAAGAAGCACCGGCAAACUCCGU